RNAcentral lists this ribosomal RNA (491 nucleotides) under uncultured bacterium. Its description in RNAcentral is "partial 16S ribosomal RNA". It matches the Rfam family "Bacterial small subunit ribosomal RNA", at positions 29 to 506 of the family's 1533-position model. The record is from RNAcentral.
AGUGAACGCUGGCGGUAGGCCUAACACAUGCAAGUCGAACGGCAGCACAGUAAGAGCUUGCUCUUACGGGUGGCGAGUGGCGGACGGGUGAGGAAUACAUCGGAAUCUACUUUUUCGUGGGGGAUAACGUAGGGAAACUUACGCUAAUACCGCAUACGACCUACGGGUGAAAGCAGGGGAUCUUCGGACCUUGCGCGAUUGAAUGAGCCGAUGUCGGAUUAGCUAGUUGGCGGGGUAAAGGCCCACCAAGGCGACGAUCCGUAGCUGGUCUGAGAGGAUGAUCAGCCAAACUGGAACUGAGACACGGUCCAGACUCCGACGGGAGGCAGCAGUGGGGAAUAUUGGACAAUGGGCGCAAGCCUGAUCCAGCCAUACCGCGGGGGUGAAGAAGGCCUUCGGGUUGUAAAGCCCUUUUGUUGGGAAAGAAAAGCAGCAGGUUAAGACCCCGCUGUUCUGACGGUACCCAAAGAAUAAGCACCGGCUAACUUCGU